This is a non-coding RNA of Cyanistes caeruleus (blue tit), 401 nucleotides long. The record is from RefSeq and is a predicted model, not a curated record. NCBI's taxonomy places the organism in Eukaryota, Metazoa, Chordata, Aves, Passeriformes, Paridae.
CACCCCAGGACAGGGCUCCAGCUCACUGGCCGUGCCUGGGUGAGCUGGCAGUGCUUCAGGGCUGAGGGGGAUGGAGGAGGUGCUUCCCACUGUGGGAAAGCUUGGGAAGCCCUCAAGUAGGCUACUACCAAAUCUUUGGGUCAUCAGAUGGUGCUCUAGACACCUGCUGUCUCCAAAACCACCACUCAGCCUGAUUGCUGAUGCUCCUGUCUCCCUGUUCUUUGGGUGCUGGUGAGGCAGGGGCCAUGUGGAGCCUGGGGCACAUACUGUCUCUGGAGAAGCCAUGGCAGCAAAGGUGGUGGUGGCUGUGUUAGCUGAAGGUGGCUCCACAGGGCUGGCUGGGGCUGUGCUGGAUUCCCUCCUGCUUUGGUAGCACUGGCAGGUGAAGUGCCAGAAACAGU